AACUAAGCCGCGGGCAAAGCCGCGCCCAAAAAUAAGCGCCCGAAGGUCGUGGUGCCAAAACCCCCCAGCGGAAAAAUGGCCAAAAAACGGGUGGGCUAUAGCCUUGGUGGGGGGCGCGGGCGAAGUUCGUCCGCUGGACUCGGAAUGGGGCGAGACUUUGGAAGGGGCUUCGGGGUGCCAAAAAUAAGCCGCGGGCAAAGCCGCGCCCAAAAAUAAGCGCCCGAAGGUCGUGGUGCCAAAACUCCCCAGCGGAAAAAUGGCCAAAAAACGGGUGGGCUAUAGCCUUGGUGGGAGGUGCGGGCGAAGUUCGUCCGCCGGACUCGGAAUGGGGCAAGACUUUGCGAGGGGCCUCGGGAUGCCCGCGGUAAGUCUUGGGCACAGCCGCGCCGAAAAAUAAGCGCCCGAAGGUCGUGGUGCCAAAACCCCCGAGCGGAAAAAUGGCCAAAAAACGGGGGGGUUAUAGCCUUGGUGGGGGGGGCGGGCGAAGUUCGUCCGCCGGACUAGGAAUGGGGCGAGACUUUGCGAGGGGCCUCGGGGUGCCCGCGGGAAGCAGCGGGAACAGCCGCGCCCAAAAAUAAUGGCCGAAGGUCGUGGUGCCAAAACCCCCCAGCGGAAAAAUGGCCAAAAAUUGGGUGGGCUAUAGCCUUGGUGGGGGGCGCGGGCGAAGUUCGUCCGCCGGACUCGGAAUGCGGCGAGACUUUGCGAGGGGCACCGGGGUGCCCACGGGAAGUCGUGGGCACCGCCGCGCCCAAAAAUAAGCGCCCGAAGGUCGUGGUGCCAAAACCCCCGAGCGGAAAAAUGGCCAAAAAACGGGUGGGCUAUAGCCUUGGUGGGGGGCGCGGGCGAAGUUCCCCCGCCGGACUCGGAAUGAGGCAAGAAUUUGCGAGGGGCCUCGGGGUGCCAAAAAUAAGCCGCGGGCAAAGCCGCGCCCAAAAAGAAGAACCCGAAGGUCGUGCUGCCAAAACCCCCCAGCGGAAAAAUGGCCAAAAAACGGGUGGGCUAUAGCCUUGGUGGGGGGCGCGGGCGAAGUUCAUCCGCCGGACUCGGAAUGGGGCGAGACUUUGCGAGGGGCCUCGGGGUACCAAAAAUAAGCCGUGGGCAAAGCCGCGCCCAAAAAUAAGCACCCGAAGGUCGUGGUGCCAAAACCCCCCAGCGGAAAAAUGGCCAAAAAACGGGUGGGCUAUAGCCUUGGUGGGGGGCGCGGGCGAAGUUCGUCCGCCGGGCUCGGAAUGGGGCGAGACUUUGCGAGGGGCCUCGGGGUGCCCGCGGGAAGUCGCGGGCACAGCCACGCCCAAAAAUAAGCACCCGAAGGUCGUGGUGCAAAAACCCCCCAGCGGAAAAAUGGCCAAAAAACGGGUGGGCUAUAGCCUUGGUGGGGGGCGCGGGCGAAGUUCGUCCGCCGGACUCGGAAUGGGCCGAGACUUUGCGAGGGUCCUCGGGGUGCCCGCAGGAAGUCGCGGGCACAGCCGCGCCCAAAAAUAAACGCCCGAAGGUCGUGGUGCCAAAACCCCCCAGCGGAAAAAUGGCCAAAAAACGGGUGGGCUAUAUCCUUGGUGGGGGGCGCGGGCGAAGUUCGUCCGCCGGGCUCGGAAUGGGGCGAGACUUUGCGAGGGGCCUCGGGGUGCCAAAAAUAAGCCGCGGGCAAAGCCGCGCCCAAAAAUAAGCGCCCGACGGUCGUGGUGCCAAAACCCCCCAGCGGAAAAUGGCCAAAAAACGGGUGCCGCUAUAGCCUUGGUGGGGGGCGCGGGCGAAGUUCGUCCGCCGGACUCAGAAUGGGGCGAGACUUUGCGAGGGGCCUCGGGGUGCCAAAAAUAAGCCGCGGGCAAAGCCGCACCCAAAAAUAAGCGCCCGAAGGUCGUGGUGCCAAAACCCCCCAGCGGAAAAAUGGCCAAAAAACGGGUGGGCUAUAGCCUUGGUGGGGGGCGCGGGCGAAGUUCAUCCGCCGGACUCGGAAUGGGGCGAGACUUUGCGAGGGGCCUCGGGGUACCAAAAAUAAGCCGUGGGCAAAGCCGCGCCCAAAAAUAAGCACCCGAAGGUCGUGGUGCCAAAACCCCCCAGCGGAAAAAUGGCCAAAAAACGGGUGGGCUAUAGCCUUGGUGGGGGGCGCGGGCGAAGUUCGUCCGCCGGGCUCGGAAUGGGGCGAGACUUUGUGAGGGGCCUCGGGGUGCCAAAAAUAAGCCGCGGGCAAAGCCGCACCCAAAAAUAAGCUCCCGAAGGUCGUGGUGCCAAAACCCCCCAGCGGAAAAAUGGCCAAAAAACGGGUGGGCUAUAGCCUUGGUGGGGGGGACGGGCGAAGUUCGUCCGCCGGACUCGGAAUGGGGCGAGACUUUGCGAGGGGCCUCGGGGUGCCCGCGGGAAGUCGCGGGCACAGCCACGCCCAAAAAUAAGCACCCGAAGGUCGUGGUGCAAAAACCCCCCAGCGGAAAAAUGGCCAAAAAACGGGUGGGCUAUAGCCUUGGUGGGGGGCGCGGGCGAAGUUCGUCCGCCGGACUCGGAAUGGGCCGAGACUUUGCGAGGGUCCUCGGGGUGCCCGAAGGAAGUCGCGGGCACAGCCGCGCCCAAAAAUAAACGCCCGAAGGUCGUGGUGCCAAAACCCCCCAGCGGAAAAAUGGCCAAAAAACGGGUGGGCUAUAGCCUUGGUGGGGGGCGCGGGCGAAGUUCGUCCGCCGGGCUCGGAAUGGGGCGAGACUUUGCGAGGGGCCUCGGGGUGCCAAAAAUAAGCCGCGGGCAAAGCCGCGCCCAAAAAUAAGCGCCCGACGGUCGUGGUGCCAAAACCCCCCAGCGGAAAAAUGGCCAAAAAACGGGUGGGCUAUAGCCUUGGUGGGGGGCGCGGGCGAAGUUCGUCCACCGGACUCGGAAUGGGGCGUGACUUUGCGAGGGGCCUCGGGGUGCCCCCGGGAAGUCGCGGGCACAGCCGCGCCCAAAAAGAAGCGCCCGAAGGUCGUGGUGCCAAAACCCCCCAGCGGAAAAAUGGCCAAAAAACGGGUGGGCUAUAGCCUUGGUGGGGGGCGCGGGCGAAGUUCGUCCGCCGGACUCGGAAUGGGGCGAGACUUUGCGAGGGGCGUCGGGGCGCCAAAACUAAGCCGCGGGCAAAGCCGCGCCCAAAAAUAAGCGCCCGAAGGUCGUGGUGCCAAAACCCCCCAGCGGAAAAAUGGCCAAAAAACGGGUGGGCUAUAGCCUUGGUGGGGGGCGCGGGCGAAGUUCGUCCGCCGGGCUCAGAAUGGGGCGAGACUUUGUGAGGGGCCUCGGGGUGCNN
This 3256-nucleotide long non-coding RNA is filed under the name Citrus x clementina. RNAcentral describes it as "Citrus clementina (C. clementina) long non-coding RNA (CCLE_LNC006126)". The record is from RNAcentral. Lineage: Eukaryota; Viridiplantae; Streptophyta; Magnoliopsida; Sapindales; Rutaceae.